UAGGUGCCGAACCUGAGAGAAAGGUACGGCUUAAUAGGGAAACCCGGUGCAAAUCCGGUACGGUCCCGCCACUGUAAACGGGGAUAAGACGAAAACCGUCAGAAUGUAACCCGUAAGUCAGGAGACCUGCCUAACU
RNAcentral lists this non-coding RNA (136 nucleotides) under Paenibacillus ihuae. Lineage: Bacteria; Bacillati; Bacillota; Bacilli; Caryophanales; Paenibacillaceae. The record is from RNAcentral.